GAUGAAGCACUAUGACGGGGUCAUCUAUAUGCGCCAGUUUUAUCAGAAGUACUUUGCCGCGACAGAAGGGUUGUCCUGGUUGGCUUGCCUGAGCGCGCCGCAGCGCUUAAAGAUGCUGGAAGAACUGAUGCAGUGGGAGGUGACAGCCUGACCCUGGAGUAGCAGACAUCAUGUGUGACUGAGUAUUGGUGUUAAUCACCGCGCCAGCAGGUAUUAUCUGCUGGCUUUUUUC
Molecule: small RNA, 232 nt
Filed under: Citrobacter amalonaticus
Lineage: Bacteria; Pseudomonadati; Pseudomonadota; Gammaproteobacteria; Enterobacterales; Enterobacteriaceae
Description: SgrS RNA
Rfam family: SgrS RNA
About the family: In sugar transport-related sRNA (SgrS) is induced under conditions of glucose phosphate stress in E.coli. This small RNA acts to negatively regulate the translation and stability of the ptsG mRNA, which encodes the major glucose transporter in E. coli.
Source: RNAcentral